GGAGGGGUCGCAUAGAGGUCUAGUGCGGUGGUCUUGAAAACCAUUGUGCCGCAAGGCACCGCGAGUUCGAAUCUCGCCCCCUCCG
Molecule: transfer RNA, 85 nt
Filed under: Candidatus Zambryskibacteria bacterium RIFCSPHIGHO2_01_FULL_46_30
Lineage: Bacteria; Candidatus Zambryskiibacteriota
Also listed under: 2 other names
Description: tRNA-Ser
Rfam family: tRNA
About the family: Transfer RNA (tRNA) molecules are approximately 80 nucleotides in length. Their secondary structure includes four short double-helical elements and three loops (D, anti-codon, and T loops). Further hydrogen bonds mediate the characteristic L-shaped molecular structure. tRNAs have two regions of fundamental functional importance: the anti-codon, which is responsible for specific mRNA codon recognition, and the 3' end, to which the tRNAs corresponding amino acid is attached (by aminoacyl-tRNA synthetases). tRNAs cope with the degeneracy of the genetic code in two manners: having more than one tRNA (with a specific anti-codon) for a particular amino acid; and 'wobble' base-pairing, i.e. permitting non-standard base-pairing at the 3rd anti-codon position.
Source: RNAcentral